AUCUUUGCGCUUGGGGCAAUGACGCGGCUAGUGAGGUUUUAACCGAGGCGCGUCUAUUGCUGGUUGAAAACUAUUUCCAAACCCCCUCUUAGGCCUUGGUUCUGCCCUGGCCUUUGAGAAUUUCUGGAAGGGUUCCCUUCGGGGUAAAACU
RNAcentral lists this small nuclear RNA (151 nucleotides) under Gossypium arboreum. Its description in RNAcentral is "U4 spliceosomal RNA". It matches the Rfam family "U4 spliceosomal RNA". Rfam says of the family: U4 small nuclear RNA (U4 snRNA) is a component of the major U2-dependent spliceosome. The structure of U4 snRNA from yeast and human has been reported. U4 snRNA presents a k-turn RNA motif in the 5p-SL related to recognition of Snu13 protein. Lineage: Eukaryota; Viridiplantae; Streptophyta; Magnoliopsida; Malvales; Malvaceae. The record is from Rfam by way of RNAcentral.